RNAcentral lists this ribosomal RNA (520 nucleotides) under uncultured prokaryote. RNAcentral describes it as "bacterial SSU rRNA". The record is from RNAcentral.
AAUAAUACUCUAUCUGACUAGCCUGAUCCAACGACUCCUCGUGACUUAAGACGGGCUGCGGGUUGUAAACCUCUUUGGACAGGGAAGAAUCGUGACGGUCUCUUAUCCUUAGGUUACGACUGUCUCCGUGCCAUCAGCCCCGGUUAUCCAUAUGACACCAGCCUUGUCCGUAUUUAUGGGGCGUACAUUGAUCGUAAUUGGUGUGCCUAAUGGGAUGUCAAGUGGCCCGGUUAAUCCGGGAUGUAUCCUCCAGUAUUGAUCUGCUAAAUUCCAGCAAGACAGAACGGAUUUCCCCUGGUAGAGGUGAAUUGAAUACCUCUCGUAAGGAACACCUGAGUCGAAAUCUGGAGGCUCAGCUGUCACUAACGCUGACCCCCGAAUCCGUAUGGACCCACCUGAAUUAAAUCCUCUGGAACUCCACGCCUUAAAUAAUCUGAUCUACCUCUCCCGAGAAUAGAUCCUCUCUGUGCCGAAUCUAACGCUACUCGUGUCCCCCCUGGAGAGUACAGUCAAACUCAAA